Molecule: long non-coding RNA, 22207 nt
Filed under: Vigna radiata
Lineage: Eukaryota; Viridiplantae; Streptophyta; Magnoliopsida; Fabales; Fabaceae
Description: long non-coding RNA (VRAD_LNC002994)
Source: RNAcentral
UUUUUUAUUAUUUUUUCUUUUUAGUCCAAACUAUUUGGAGUCGCAUAUUGAUUGCACUUUAAAGAAAAAAAGGAUCUAUAAGUAUCUCUACAACCAAACUAAGGAACUAGCAAGGCAAAAUACAAACCUAUGAAAAUCUAUGCUAAUAAAGGCCAAAAUACAUGUUAUAAAACCUAUUCUAUUCUUUUCAUUUCUUCAUGUUUUCCUUAUGUCUUGAGCCAUUUAUGAUCACAUCAGAUCAGCCCAAUGAAAAGGGGUGAACUCAAAAGCUAAUCUGAGGUUGUUCACAAAGGGUGAACUCAGAAUUAUAGGUAGGGGUCAAAGACCCUGUUAUUUUCUUCAUUCUGUCUUUCUUGUGGACAUCUUGGUGCCCUCGUAAUGUUGUGAGAUUGCAUUUUAGUGCAUUCUGUUUUCAAGUCAUAGCAUGCUUUGUAUUGAUUACAAAAUGUAGUUUUAAAGUACAUGGACAUAAGGGUCUAUAUAAGAAAAUCCAGAUUUAGAUAAAGCCGUGUCUCAUGGAAUGUUUGCAAAUAAAGAAACUGUUUUUGGCACUGUAGUAGAUGCACGUCAAACUUCUUAGUAAAAAAGGAUUCACUGUGAUUUAUUUAAGGUGAUAUCAUAUGUCUUGCUUCUAAAGUAUGCUUUAGUAAUUGUUUUUACGUUGCAUGUUGCUGUUGAACGUGGAGUAAAAUUUUGAGUAGUAGACAGAGAAGAAAAGUGGAUCCCCUAUCACUUUCUUAUGAUUCAAUAGUGGUUUUCAUACAAAUAGUAGCGAACACACUAUAAACUGAAGAACUUUGUAAUUAAAACAGCUUAAACUCAAACCAAAUCUACUCUAGGAAAGCAAUAAAAUCUACCAAACUAGCUUUGUAGUGAAGGCAGGUUCAUAACAUUAGAGAGAAGGAAAACUCAGAACUGUAAAAUCUGGAAAAGGUUUUCUUAUUAGUCACUAUGUGGUUUUCAUCCAUCUCUAAUUUUGAUAUUCGCAUUCCGGUUCUGCAACACCCCGGACUCAUCAUUUCUAAUAGCAUAUGGCAUAUUACUGCAAUAUCUUCGCACUGGUUUUUUAUUACAUUAGUCUACUACAUCAUUUAAAUUGAAGAACUUUAGUUCAAAGUCAAAAGGAAUAGAUAAUUUGGUAGAAAGAAAAAAUGAGGUAAAUUAGGAGUUAUGAUUGUAUUCUGUUGAACAGUACGUAGCAUCAACUUAUGGGCUUUGCAAGUUUAUUGGAAGACAGGAUAUGAAUGACAUAGCACGGGGGAAUCUAUUGAUUGAUUUUCUUCACUCUCGGUUCUUUGCUUAUUGGUAUAACAAUCAAAGAAUAUUACACCCCGAUUGUACUUUAGUUUAAGUCAUAGGGAAAAUUCUCAGCUAAACUUUAAUGGUUGCAGAAGAGUAAUAUAUAUAUAUAUAUAUAUAUAUAUAUAUAUAUAUAUAUAUAUAUAUAUAUAUAUAUAUAUAUAAAGACCAUAUCAAUUUGAAUUGUAAUGUGUAACAGCAAUAGGUGGUAUAAAGUGAAAAUAGAAACUUCCUCAUUUCUCUUUAUGCAAGUGAUAAAAUAAAUUGGAGAAAGAAUGAGUGUGUGAGAGAAAAAGAAUGGAGGAUUCAUGCAAGUUGUGGUAAGAUGCAUUGUUUCAUGUGUGGGGUCGGGAAUGAAUAGGACACUCCUUCACACUUUCUAUCGCGCUUGUUUGGAUAAUUUUGUUCGUCUUUUGUUAAAGUCCUUUCUGGUUAAUGUUCCAAACCGCUCGAGGAUACUUGUCAAAGGCAUUUCGAUGCUUAAGUCAUUAAUUAAUCCAGACGAUGGUUAGAGCAAAGUCAUAAAUUCACAAUAAAUAUGAUCACUUACUUUUUAUCUUUGACCUCUAUUUAUAGUUUUAGAGAUGGGCUUAAGAUUAGCAAAACCCUAAUCACGACCCCAAUCUCGGUCCAUUAUCUACUAAUUAACACUUACUCUUAACCUUGUCUAUUUGGUCUUUACCCACAUUCGGCCGAGCAAUCAUCGUCUUAUUUUGUUCAAUUUCAUGGGUUCAGACAUAUUCGAUCGGUCAUCCCUCAAUGGCUCUUUCUGCCCGGUCUUAGCUAUGUUGUCAUCUGGCCAUACAGUACAAAGGCCUCCCAAGCCCUAGCCAACCCUGGGUGGCGUUGGAUUUGAUACAUGGGUGGUGUGGAGUAGGUCUCGUGGCUAUGGUUGGAGCUUCCCCAUACGACGUGAUUUGAAUUUGUGGUAGUGGUGGGAAGACACUUGUCUUAUUAAUUAUGUGUUGUCAUCAUCAAAACCAGAAGAUCUCUGAGAUUGUAAGGUUUGGCUAAAUAAGUGUUCCCUCUAUCAAAAAUCCCAACAACCUUCAACAAAGAAAGGUCAAACCUUCAACACAAAAGAAAAAGGACACACCUUGAACUAAGAGUACAGAGAGAACAGAGGAUUGGAGAGAGAACGGAGAGUGGAGAAAGAACAACAAAGAAGUUGAAUUAUAGAGAGAGAAUGAACCCUCUUUUUCUGAAUGAAAAAAGCAAGGGUAUUUUGGAAUUCAUAAGUGUAAUAUGAUUACAUUUUCCCACGUUACCUUUUUCAAAUAAAAAAUUUAUUUUAACCUUCUCCAAUACUGUUUUUAGACAUGGCAAUUGUGAAAAAGUUAUAAAAAAAAGGUUUAAUGUCUCGAUAAGUCCUUAUUUUCGUCCUGAAUCUCAAUUAGGUCCCUUUUUUUUCGACUUCUCGAUUAGGUCCUUAUUUUUGUAAAAUUGAAUCAAUUGAGGGUCUACCGUCAAAUUAAACAAACUGUCGUUUAAAUUUACUGACGUGACAUUAAAAACGAAUUUUAUAUUAAAAAUUUGAAUUACACAAGUGUGAAUUCAAAUUUAAGAAAGGGCAAAGUAGGCAAAAUCUAAAAUUUAAGUGCAGCCCCUAACUUCAAUCUUCCAUGUUCAUUUCAUUCAACUCAAAAUUAUAUUCUGUUCAUCAGCAUCCUUCCCAAAUUCCAUCAACGUUUCCCUGUCCUUAUCAUACAGCGGGCACUCAUUCUCCAACUAACAAAGUUGGACUACCAACUUAUCAAACUCCAGUGCCAGUCUAUGAUUCUCCUCCACGAAUUUCUUCAAAACUUGCACUCGCUUCAAACUGCUCUAAAAUACCCAGAAUUCCCAUCAUCAAAUUUUCAAAAAAAAGAAAAUGAAAGAUAAAGAUUCAAAAGACCAAUCUUGCAUAAAACAAAAUCAAAUGCAACCAAAACAAAAAGUAAAAAGCCUUCCAAUUCCAACAUUAAUAAACAACCAGUACAUGAUUGGAUUAAUGUGAGUAUUUCAACAAUUUACUGAAGCUUCACAAUUGAGAUUUCCCAAAUGCAGAUUAAAAAAUGAUGAUAAAAGCAAACAAAGAGGAGCGGACCUCACCUCGUCCACAUUAAAAUCCCGAUCAAUUAACCGGUGUCCUGAGUUCUCCAAUUCAGAAACCCUAACGCUCCUUCGAGUUUCUUUCGACACUUUCGCGACGGCGGAGUCCAAAUCCUUGCGGAGGAGCGUCCCUCCCAUGAUGAAUCCCUCUUGUUCGAAGGCAAAGAGCGUCUUGGACUGCGACGGAGAAGAACAAAAUGGAAAGGUGAGACCUUGAAGGAAAUGUAAAUGUUAUUGAUGGUGGCCAAGUCGUUGAAGGAGAUGACGUUGAAUGGAGGAUGCAGAUGAUGUUGACUGGCUUCAUUACUGAGAAGGAGUUUUAGGGUUUUGAAAGAAAAGGGGUUAAUGGAAGAAGAAAAGAGGUUUGUCUUUUUUGCCCCUCUGAACAUAUUUGAUUUAACUUUGCUUAAUUAUUUUUUAAUAUAAAAAUUAAUUCAAAUUUAUUUUUAAUGCCACAUAAGAUAAAUUUAAACGGUCGUUUGUUUAAUUUAACGGCAAGUCUCUAAUUCUUCAAUUUUACAAAAAUAAGGACCGAAUUGAGAAGUUGAAAAAGAAAUGGACCUAAUUAAGAUUCAGGGCAAAAAUAAGGACUUACGGAACUAUUAAACCUAAAAAAAAAAGUUGUUAACUUAUCGCGAUCCACAAUCAAUAAAUCUCCUUUAACACGAAAACUACCUAAAAGCAAUAUCUAUAACUUAAUGUAGUAAGGAAUUUUGACCAAUAAUUUUUUAGACACAAAGUAAUAUGCUUAAACUAAGUAUAAUUUCAAUGUCUAAUCUCUAUGCAAACUAGUAGAGUCCAUUCUCUACCUAUUGUAAGGUAGUGUGGUGUUUUUAUUACACCACUUUUACUUUGCACGUGGGUAAAUGAUAUAGAACAAUUAUAUUUUUUGUAAUCACCAACAAGACCAACCCCUAACUCUGCUAUCAAAUAAAAAAGGACGGAUCUAACAAUGUGAUUAAAGGAAUUUGAGUAACCUCCACCGCUAACUCAACAUGCAAGAGUUCAUUUUCAAAUGUAUUUAGAAGUCUAUAUCACAUAUAUUCAACUAUAACUUCAAUUACUCAAAAAGCAACUUGAGCUGUAAGGAGUGCAAUGGGAAAACUCCAACCUAGAAAUCAAAACAAUAGAAACAAAAAUACAACCAAACUUAGGCAAAGACUAAAUUAGUUGAGAAAGUUAUUUUUCUCAAUUUAUAAAGUAUAAAAGAAAAAUUAAAUGGAUUUUUGAUGCAAAAAAGAAAUUUUAAUUUGAAAAGAAAAUUCAUAGGAUAGAAAUGGUAUUUUAUCAUGCUAGUAUAAGGUAGGAUAUGAUUAUGAAAAUGGAGCAUUGGAGUGAGACACUAAAAGAAAUAUUAGAGAAAAACAAACGUUUUUGCAUGCAUGAGAAAGAGAGAAUGAGGGGGAAGUUUUACAAUUUUUUAACUCAAAAAUUUGGGUUCCAUCUUUAAUUUUGUUUAUAUUUUUUUACAUUUACCAAACUAAAUUAUAUAUGUAUGGUCACAAAUGAAAUUAGUAAAUUUAGGAAUAAAUAUAAAAAUCACAUACUUUCAAAAAUAGAGAAACCAAAUGUCUCACCCGGUUUAUUCAAUCAUAAAUUGUAAUAGUUGGUACCUAAUGUUUUAACUAUAAUGUUUUAAUUAAUUAAAAAUAUAAAAAUAUUUAAUAACUUUAACUUUUAUAUUGAAUACUUCUUCGUUUAAAAAUAUGAUUUCAAAAUAGUAAUGUUUUCCCUUCCGAACAUAAAAUUCACUUCAAUAGUUUUCUAAAAUAAUACAGAAUUAUUCACUGUUUUUAUAAUCAUAUUAAAGAUUCGUGUAUUAUUUUAUCUUAAGUCCGUAAAAUAUCAUAUCGGUCGUUUAUCGACGAAAUAGGCGAAAACUGGAAAGCAAAGACUGAAGGGAUAUGUUUUGCUUAGCGAUGAAGGAAAUCUAUAUUACAAAUAAAUUAAAAAAACAAUGUCAUAAUCAAUUAAAUAUAAGAAAAAAAUAGUAAGAACCUGAUUCUAUUUUAUUUUCAUUGAAUUAACAUACCUAUAUAUUUUUGUCUGUGUCUGAAGUAGAUUCUAUUUAUACAUUCUACGAAUCUAAUACUGAUUCUGUGUUAACAUCAUACUUCAUUUUUGUCUGCCAUAAGCAGAUUCUGAUUAUAGCUGCAAUUGCAAAUAUAACAUGAUUGAGGUUAUACUUGCAACAUAACGAAAUACUUUCCCAAAAGGGCUCUUAUUUUCGUAUUGGCCCCAAAGGUUUUGGAAUAACAGCCCAUUACAAAAGAUACUUUAUUCUUUCUUUCUUCAAUCACUUUUAUUGCAGGAGGGCAGUUUGAGAUCUAUUUAGGUUAAACUCAUUCGGAGGUAUCUAUUUUUGUGUUUUUGUUUCACUUACAUUUCUGUCUUUUAUUCUUUCACCAAUUAGAUUCUUAAGAUUGAAAAAUUGAAAGAAUUUGACCUUUGCCGUUAAAUCAAGCUAACAGGAUUAACUUUCAGCUUACAUGUAAGGGUGAGGUGGAUAAAUAUGAUCACGUGGCGUGCACAGAAGGGUUUGUUUAUGUACGUGGCAUUAAAUUUAAAAAGUAGGGGUUUUGUUAAACAUUUUAAAAUUAGGGUUAUUUUAAAAUACAAUUAGGAUUAAAUCUCUUUCAGUAGUGGAGUGGUGGUUCCAACAGCACCGACUCGUCAUCACUGGCGAUGUCUACGGCUCAUCCUCAGUUGCGCCUCGGUGCUACUUCUACCGGUCUCUCCACCGUCAAGUGCAUGCAAAACGUGGCCGCCAAAGCCGUCGCGCAACGCCUCACUCGUGUCAUGGCAUCUCAGAACGCCAUCAUCGACGAAGGUGAAGAUGACGAUGAUCUCGAUUUCCGGUUCAGCGCUCCGCCUCCUACAUCUAUUUCUUCUUUCUCCAUCAACGCCAUCAGUAACAGGAGCACCAACACAAAUGCCUCCACUAUUCCUCCGAUUUUGGUUGCCAAGCCUAACAGAUCUACUUCUCCUACGAUAACUCUCUCUGCAAUUCGACACUGUUGGGUAUGUCACUGUUUGUCCAGAAUUUCAGGAAGAAAAUAGAAGAUAAACGUCACGCUAGAGAGAAAAAAUCACCAUGGUCGCGAACCGAACAGUGAGAAGGAAUUCAAAGUGAGCGCGUUGAAUGAAGAGAAAAAAAAAUAAAGUGAAUAAGAUUAACUGAAUAAGGAAUCCACCUUGUGGUCGCGACUACGGUAUUUGAACUGGCGAGGGAAAUAACGAAGGACGUAACUAAGGCCGUCAUCGGAGAGAAACAUCUCUGGUGUUAGUUUGGGCCUUGUUCGAGGAAGUUUCUUGGGCUUUUCGGUUGUGAAUCUGGGCUUGAAAGAAAAGGAAGAAGGAUUGGGAGUGGGAUUGGUGGAGGCGUUAGGGUUUGGAUUGGAAUUGGGAGCAGAGAAAGGACAGUCUCGUGACCAAUGACCUGGUCUGCCACACUUGUAACAGCCUGUGGCGGUUGCUGUUCCUUUUCCUCCAUUUUUUCACUUCUCACUGAUCACUCUCCUUUCCCAACACACCAUCUAUCUGUGGUGCGAUGGUGCUCCACCUGGACAGGAUAGAAUGCGGUGAUAGAGCUACGUGGUACAAGCAACUGUUAUCGGCAAUACUGCAGCAAUGAUUUUGAUGAUUGAGUGUCUGGUGCAGGAGGUGGUCGUCGGCGACGGUGUGGUAGCGAUCUAGGUGGCGCGGCGCAAAUAGUGAAGUAAGGAAGUUUUAGGGUUUAUGGAAGGAAGAAGGAAGAAUUUUCAGUUAUUUUAAAAAAUUUAUUCAGAAUAAAAAUUAAAUAAUACAAAUAAUUAAUAAUAAUAAUAAUAAUAAUAAGGUUAAGAAACACUAAUUUUUUAAUUCUUUGUUUAAGAUACUGACACGUGUAUAAUAAAACCAACGUAACAGGUUCUGUGCACACCACGUCACCAUAUUUGUCCACCUUACCCUCACAGGUAAGAAAAAAGUUAACCCCGUUAACUUGAUUUAACGUCAGGGGUCAAAUUCAUUCAAUUUUCCAAUCUUAAGGACCUAAUUGGCAAAAAAAAAAAGAUGAGGAUGCAAGUGGGACAAAAACACGAAAAUAGGGACCUCUGAAUGUGUUUAACCAUCUAUUUACCUGUAUUGAUGUUAAUUGAAGAGAAGGUGCUUAUUAAAUAAGUCUACUAAGUUCAUGGGGUACCAUAAUUGAGAUCUGGGACACUAGAUUGGUCGAAGAACCUUUAAUGAUUGGAUUGUGAAUAGGUGUAUGGUAAGUAAAAGUCUAUAUAAAUAUUAUAAAUAAAAAGUUUAAGGUAAUUGUUCACUUUUACUGCAACAUUUAGUAUAGCCUUUGGAUCAAUACUAAUUUAAGCAUCAGAGUGUAAUCUAUAAGUACACUUCGAACGAUUUGGACAACUUGAGACCUUAAGUAUUGAAAGGAGCUGAAAAUUGAAGUUAACCUAAGACCGAGACAUAUAGGAAAUGGAAAUGCUUGACCAAUCUAACAGAAACAUUUUUGUACCCACCGUGGGACCGAACGAGCACUUUUUUGCUGCUAUGGUAAUCACAAAGAACAUGACAAACAAUGAAGUACUAGAGGAGCAGCAUGUGGAUCCUAUGGCUAUGAUGCACGACAUGAGAAGGGAGAUGGAGACUAUGAGAAGGAAGCAUGAAGGAGAGAUGACAAUUUUGCACACAGAAAACACACUUAUGAAACAAAAACGGAAACUAAGGGACAUGUACAAUCCACCCCAACUCAACUUGGACCAACCAAACAACCAAGAAUCGAGCAUGAUCGAACAGUUCAGAAGAAAAAUUAUGGAGCUAGUAGAGAUCACAACCCAUCUGUCACUGUCACGGUAGACAUGUCUGGGUGCACCCGUUUACUAGUGGAAUCAUUAAGACCCCUUUACUAGACAAUUGGAAGAUGUCAACGUUUGACAAGUAUGAUGGAUCCACGAAUGUUAACGAGCACAUCAACAUUUGUCUAACGCAGUUGGUGUUAUUCACGUCAGAUGAUAUCAUUUAGUGCAAGGUAUUCCCAACAUCACUAAAAUGAGCCAUCCUCGAGUGGUUCAAGCUUCUAUCUGUCAACUCCAUCGGCUGCUUCGCCACAAUUAGAACGAAAUUUAGAACAUAAUUCACCACUAGCCAACAACAUCAUCUAACGUACAUAGCGCUUGUCAACAUUCGACAAUACAAAGAUGAAAUCCUCUGAACAUUCAUAGAUCAAUUUGGAAAGAUAUCUUCACAAAUAAAGGACCUAAGUCAUAAAGUGCCUAUGCAUCAGAUAAUUCACCAAAAAAACUUGUGGGAUCGUUCCCCAAUAGCCUGUUAUGCAGUCUACCACAAAUUUAGACGAUUUGAUAUAGAGAGUAGCAAAGUACAUGCAGCGAAAGGGCUUGAAAGGCUUUCGAAAGCAAAUGCGACUAUAAAGAGCAAAUGUAAAUAAGGGUACAAAUAAAAAAUCAUUCACCAAGAAUCAAGACUCAAAGUUACGGAGUCAAUCAGAGGUCCCCACUUCCAUAACCACACACCAUCGAACAAUGGUUGUUCGAAAAUCCUUUGGGAAGCUCUAAACACAUACUUGUUACCAUCACCUAGAAGAAAGGCAACCCUGUUGAACCUUGAUAGUAAUAAACAUUGUUAAUAUCAUCAUCACUUAGGCCAAAACAACGAUGAGUGUCUACCGCUAAAAUAUAAAAUAGAAGAGUUCAUCCAACUUUGACAGUUAAAGAAGUUUGUCAAAAUUGAUUAAACCCCUACCAUAGAGAAGAACCCCUAAAUGAGCAGUAUCAAUGUACAAAUAGUAUAAGGAGCAGCCUAGGUGAAGAAGCCGAAGUAAGAACAAGAGUCGGGAUGGUCCAUCGAGGGAAACAAUCAACACAACCUAAGGAGGUUUCGCUUGAGGAGGGCACACAAUAUUUUCCUAAAAGAAUCACAUUUGAGCAAUUAAAAUGAUGAAUCUCGUAGAGAAGAGAGUUAGAAGCACGCCCUUCAUCACAUUUUCUAACGAUGAUUAUAAAGCGCCUGACCCUGACCAAGACGACUUGAUGGUCAUCUCAAUCCAGCUAGCCGACUAUGCUAUAAGCAAGAUUUUGGUCAACCAAGGCAGACAAGAAGAAGAAGGAGUUGUGCUUACAACCUUCACGGCUUCCCCCGACCGAUUAGCAGAUUCCUCUUGCUCAACAAGUUCAACAGCAGCUUUGAAGAAAUUCUUCUUUAGAUUGUGGGAUGCCAUAAUCUCUGAAAGACAACAAAAAAUUUAGCUAGGUUAAAAUCAAGUCAAAAACAAACGACAAAAGGAAUGCCAUAUCGAACACCUCAGUACUGAGGUCCUCCCCACCAAGGCAAUUGAUUAUCUUUGAGGAAGGGAGCUGGCGAGGCAAGUCAUCAAGAACAUUGAGUGCCUCCUGCUCGGCCGGAGUCAUAUCUGACUGUAACCAGGAAGUCACCCAAGUAGGGUCUUCGGUCUAGUACAAAGAAAAUUUUGGUCACUCGUCUUCCCCAAAGAAUAGUAGAUGGCCAAACUCGGUUAAUUCUACCUUAAAAAAUUUAUCAUUGAAGCCCUUGAAUGAAAGAGAAUAAAGCUCAAAUAAGGCUUUCCCUUGCUCGAAGAUCGGGGCGACCCAACCGCGUUUCGGAAUAUGUCAGGUCCAAAAGUAGUGAAGAAAAAGAGCGCGGGUGUAGGUGUGAGGUCCAACACUUAGCAAACGAUGGCGAAGGCCUGAAUAUACCCCUAGUUAUUUGGAUGCAGUUGGAAUGGGGCAAUAUUUAGAGUACGGAGGACGUCCAUUUGAAAAGAGCUAAACGACAGAUACACAAACAUCUCAUGGAACAUAUAAGCGUAAGCGAAGAAGAAGUCACUCUUACUCCCUCCUUUUCCAUGAAACACACGGUCAUUCUCCUCACGGGCCAUUAACCUAAAUAGAGGACCAAAAUCCAUUGACCGCAACACAUAGUUACAAUCAGUCCAGUCCGCCAACUGACUCAUGUCAUGAGACGCUUCAAAAGUAGGUGGAGAACUCACUCACAUCAUGAGACGCUCAGUCGUAGCCCGCGACAAUGGGCAAAGCUCCCACCUGCUUGUUCUCCUCCUUAGCACCCUCCAUAAUCACCCCUCCAUAGACAAAGGUCCACUGACCGUUGAACAUAACCUCUUUAUUUUCUUCUACAAUGGAUUCAUUACCAUCACAACCACCAUCCCGCUCGGUUGACUCCAUGAAGGAGGAAGAAGACUCCGAGCCCACCGAGAAUGAGACCCCAUCAUUGCCCCACCCGCCCCUUCCCGAAGACUCCUCAGACGAAGAGAGGUUCAUGGUAGCCAUUUAUUACAUGAAUUAAAAAAAAGACAAAUAACACUUUCAAACGUUGGAUGAAAAUACGUGAAAAUUAUACAAUGGGUCUUUCCUAUUUAUAGGCAGCAAAUGGAGGACCCAAAGAUCGUCCUAACUGUUGGAUGUAAAGAAAUCCAACGGUCUGAUUCAAAGACUCCAUAACUUCCAUCCAGCAUGAGAAACGAAAAAUCACAUCCAACGGUUAAGAACAGCUGACCUUGCACAUUCCUAUCAACGCAUGAAAUAGAACCAAACGCCAAUGGUAACAAUUUCAAAAUCAAGGCAACACCCCACCCAAACCAUGCACGCUCACCAAACAGUUAGUAAAGUCCCUUGCACAUUCCUAUCAACGCAUGAAAUAGAACCAAACGCCAAUGGUAACAAUUUCAAAAUCAAGGCAACACCCCACCCAAACCAUGCACGCUCACCAAACAGUUAGUAAAGUCCCUUGCCAAACAUGUUCGUCUCGAACUUGGGAGUCUGUGUACUGUAUGAACCGACCGAUAUACGUAUACCGGUAGACCACACGAUUAAUCACCUUUAGAAACGCAUUACAACCAAAUUAAACGAACGGUCACUUACAACACUCAUCGUCGUUAGGUAUAAAGACUUUAGAUUAACAAAGUAAAAACAUACUUAAACAAUGUUAGGCUUACACUUAUCCAAAGAUAAAGACAUAGGUGAUUACAUUUGGCAUUUGAGACUUAAUUAUAACCAUUCGAUAAGACUAACUUGAAUAUCAAGAGUACAUUUCUCCUCAGAAUUUUGAGGAGAAUAACAACAUAUUAUAAGAAAGUUAAAGAGUUAAUUGAAGGCAACAAACUAGAUUAGUAUAUAUGGAAACACAUUAUUUAAAUUGUCACUCAAAACAUAUCUUAAUUACGUUUCCUCACUUCCGCAUCAAUUUAGUUUUUUUAUCAAUUUUUGUUUAAAUAUUUAGUCGAAACAUAUUCAAAAGUUACACAUUCAAGAUGAAAAGGAAAUAAUUUAAAAAAUAACCAAGAUAGUAAAAUAAAAUUUAUUGUGGAUAUGGAAUUGCUUGAUUUGAUUUUAACCCACAAAUAACACCAAUUCAAUCAAAUCCAAGUUAGUGUAAUGAGUGGAUUUGAUGAAACCUCAAUCACAACAUUGUCCAUAAUAAGAACACGAGAAAGAAACUAAAAUUUAAAAAGCACAGCAAAACUUCUUGCCGGGGAGGAAGAAAUGACAAACUUUGGUAUUUUCUCAUUGAAAUGGUAGACAAUAAUACAACAACGGUGUAACAUUGGUACAAUAAAGAUAUGUCUGUCACUAUUUGCUGCACGAGGACCUUCAAACUACUUAAUUCAUACAGAAUAUCUUUCCAUUAUGCCCCAAGAGAAAAGAAGAAACAUAUGUACAAGGGUUGAGCUUUUAUGGAACCCCUCCAGAGGGUCUCACUGUUUUGUGAAAGGCCGUGUAUAACAUUUGUGAAGGGAUAAAUCCUGAACUAUUGAGCAUAUAUGUAAUAGGCCAAGUCAAAUAAAAGCCGCAUCUUUCUGUUGUUAGUUUUCAAAUUUGUAUCAAUUGUGGGAUAAGCUUCAAAAGGAAAGAUAAAUCCUGCUGUGAAAAUUGUGGAUUUGAGUUCCCCUGCACCGUCACACUCCCCUCCGUAAAACCCUCCCCAUCACCACCCUUUUUUGGCUUUAUCAUAUCUGCAACUGCUUCGGUUAUUUCUUUAACCAGAUCCACAAUUACUCCAUCAAUUCCCAUUAGAUGUUGCAUGUAAACUGCCUCAGGAACAUUGCUGCAAUGUCAAAUAUAAUCAUGAGCCAAAAUGUUACACCAAACACAUUCUUUUCUCAAGCAAUUAACAAAGGAAAGAGAGUACUAAAAACAAGCAUACUUUAAUUUGCCGUAAGAAAGGAGGCAGAGCUUGGACUCCUUUAUCUUGGUUACUGUAGAAGGAUCUCUAAAAAUCCCUUUAAUUUCUGAGACAAUUCCUUCCAAUCCAUUCUCAACAGAGAGCUUCAUGGCCUCCUCCAGUGAGUUUCUUCUCACAUCUUCAUAGAUUUCACAUCCUCCAUUUGUCAAGAAAAAGACCUGGUUGUUCCCAACAAAUUAACCACAACAUCAGAUCCAGUUAAAGAAAUAAAAUAAUUUCUCAGAACUAAAAAGGCUUAAAGAACUAACAGGGUAGUUGCUUUGCAAUUUCCGGAUGAGCAAGGCUGCAUCUGGCUGGAAUGUUGAGAAGAUAAUAGGUCUAUCCUUGGCGUAUUCAAACACAACCUGCACCCCACAAAUACCAAAGACAAUGAGAGAUCCAAGUCACCACUUUUGAAAUGUAAAACUAAAACAAAACACUCAGUGUCCCCCAUAAACACAUUUUAGGCUUAAAAUAGACUCUCUUAGCGUACCUUUAAGAUGGUUUGAAGGACAUGGACGAGAUAAUCUUGCUCAUAGACAAUGUGAUCAUCGAACUUCAACUCAAUAUUAAAACCAAUAGCGGGUUCCACCUUCACAAAAGCCUCUUGGAGAGUGCAAAGUGAGUCAUCUUGUUCAACAUCCCAUGGCAUUAUCUUCCCAUCUUUUUUCCUUAGCAAAACCUUUCCCUCAUUGCCAUGCUCUCUCUGAGGCCCAUAAGAAAGAAACUCUGAGAGACUCAGCUCUGUGAUCCUCCUUCCAGUUACAGCACCCUGCAAAACACAUUAAUUUCAACGUAACAAACCCAAAAAACUCGACCCAUUGAAAAGAAAAAGAAAGAAAUCAUCAAAGCUAAGCAAAAACAAAAAAACUCACAUUCUCCUCCGAGAAGAUGAAAUCGUCGUGGAAAAUGACGGGGCAAUCAUCUCUCGUCACCUACAAAAAACGUGCAUUUUUUAAUUCGUUUUCUUUUUUUUUUCUAUAAAAAAUGCAACGCGUCAAACAAAAACAAACAAGCAGCCAAUCAGUACCGAACAGACGGUCAAAAAAGGGCCGAGAAAGGCAAAUUAUUUACAGAAAAGCCAUCGGGGUAAAAUAGGAAAAGAAGAAAAGUAGUUGUUGCGAAACACAAGAAGCGAAAACGGUGCGCGCGGUGGAACAUUAAAUUAUUGCAUUGAGUGCAAAAGCAGAAAGAGGAAAAUAAAAGAAAAGGUCACCUGAACGUCAAAUUCUAUGAAAUCGAGAGGAAAAGUAGAGGCGGCGUUGAAGGACAUAAUGGUAUUUUCCUUUAUGGCUCUCAUUCUUCGAUCCGAAGAUUGCAGAACGUUCAUGCCGUUACCCCUGUGGCCGAUGACGACGAACUUGGGCAUCUUGAAGCCACUCCGAGCAAUCUCGACCCCUGCAUUAACGAUUAAAAGAAUGUUAGGAAGAAAAGAUGGGAAGAGGAAGAAGAGAAGGAAAGAGAUGGAAAGAACCGUUGGGGAAGCGGGAGGAGCAGAGGGCGAGAGAGGCAUUCUCGGGGACGUGGUCAAGGGAAGGGACGUCGGUGACAUGGACGGCCUUGAGAGCCAUUUGGGUGGAAGGAAAGAGAGAAAGGAGGAAGGGGAAAGGGAGGUGGUGAUGAGGAGGGCACCGGAUGGUUUGUGGGUGAUGGUGGUGGUGGUGAAGAACAAGGCAUGGUUUGGUCCGCUAUUUAUUGCUUCCACCUACGCCAAAUUCACCCUCCAACGGAUCUCCCCACGAAUAUUCCCCUCCCAUCUAUAUGCUUGGGAUAUUCCCUUGUCAUUUUCCACCCUUUCAAUUUCAACCUACACUUUUUCUUUUUCUAUAUCUAUAUCUUCAACAAAAUAUGUCAUUAUAGAUUUUUUACUAAUUUAUUGGACUAGAUUUUCGUCUAAUAUAUUAAUAAUAAUACCAUAUUUAAAUAAAAUAUUUAUAUAUAUCAUCCAAAUAAGUUCAAAAUAAUAACUGAAAAUUUUGAAACCGAACAAUUUUUUUUUAUACAAAAUUUAAAAACAAACACCUUUUCAACCAUUUAAACCACUAAAACAACCAACAAUUGUUUUAUCUCUUACUACAACUUCCAAAAAUAAAGCAAUUGACCAUGAAUACCUUUCAAUUCCAACAGACUUUGAAGCUAGCAUAAAAAAAUCUUGAAACAAUAUCGGAUAACUAGGAAUUGGUUCGAUCAAUUUCCAGCACAAACUGUUCUAGACACCAAAAAUGGAAGCCCUAUGACCAUUUUAAGAGGAAAAGCUAUACAUCUUUUAAUUGGAUGAUUUUAUUUAUUUUUUAAAUAAAAAAAGUAAUUCUUUAUUUAUGUAAUAAAAUAAAUUAUUAAAUAUUGUUUGUUUAAAAAAAAUAAAUUUCUAAAAUAACACUUGCGUAAAAUUAUAUAUAUUUUGUAGUGAUUGGAAACAAUGCUGUGGUGGUGGCGGGUGAGAAGUGGCUGGGUGACAGCUGGGGUAUUAUGUUAUAGUCGUUGACCUGUGACAAGGCAAACUACAAGGUUUUUGAAGAAAAUCUGUGGUGGGAUCGUCCGAACAUUGCGGACUACGGUAUUUUAUAAGAUAGAGGAUGAAUGAAGAAACAUAAUUGAUCGGGUAUGACGUGGUGACACAACAGCAUGUAGAUAGAUAGAGAAAGGUGGGUGGUUAUAAUUGGAUAAGACUACAAAAAGGAUUUAGGAAUGACUCAUGGCUGCCUUUGCCAAACUAUUAAUUUUAUUUAAUGAUAAAAAUUGAUGUUGUCUUUGUACUUUUAGGAAAACAAACAAAAAGUUAAAAUACGGUGGAAACAAUUUGAUAAAAAAAUUGGAAUUUUUUUUGAAAAUAAUGUAUUUUAAUUAGUUUGAUAUAAAAUAGAAACAUUAGGAAAUAUCACAUUCUAUGUUUUUAAUCUUUACGAAAAUAUUUAUUAGUAUAAUUACGUGGUACAAGUAAAAAUCUUCUAGAUAAACUAGAAUUCUCUAUAAGUUGAAUUGCUGUCUGAUUGAGGAGAAGCGGAUUGAGCUUCAAGAAAAAGGAAAAGUAGAGAAAGAUUCAUGUACAAAAUAAAGUUAAUAAAAAAGUAUAAAUAGUAUAAGUGUGAAUAGGAGAUAUACCUGGAUCAAUAGACACACAUUAAAUCGAUUAAUAUUUCAUAUAUGAUAAUAAGAUCAAGAGAUAAUAUGAAUAAAUUUGGAUUGGACUCAAAUAAACCUUUAUUAUAAAAGUUAUUGGGUUUGGACUUAUUUAGUUUUAAAUAUAUAAUUUUGGUUUAAUAAAUUUUAAAUGAUUUUUAUUUUUAUAAAAUUAAAGUAUACAUGAGAGAGUCCGUGUAUAUAUUAAUCUCACAUGACAUUAAAAUCGAGUUUUAUAUUAAAAGUUUUAAAUGUACAAAGGUGAACUUCAGGGAAGACAAAGUAAAAAAAAUUAAAAAUUUUAAGUGGAUCUCCCUUUAAUUUAAAAAUGCAAAUGAGAUUGGGAAAAAGAAUCGAAGAUCCGUAUUAUUAGAUUUGUGUGAGAAAAAAAAAAUCGCAUUCUUUCGUUCAAAAUUUUCUUAAAAAAACUGAAUUUAUAUGUGAUAGUAGCUCAUCCUCUGCAAUUAUAAAAAUAAAAUAGACUAAAUUCUUAUUACAAAGCAAGAGAGGAGGAAAAGAUCUAAGAGUUUUUAUAUCUUGGUAUGCAUUUAGCUACAGUAUGAGCUCCAGAUUUAACUGAUAACAUAGUCCAUGUAAUUUAAUUUGGACAAUGAAUGAAAAGUGACAAUGACUUCCAGAUAUCCAUGAUUUAAAUUACAAUGGAAAAAUAGAAGAAGAAAUGAGGAAGAAUGUGAGGGACUGGGACUAAUUAAUAUAUUAAAUAUUUUACAUCUAACUCUCUUAAUGUAUACACUUCUUCUGAACUUUAUCUGAGAUGAACAGUUAUAGAGAUGAACAGUCAGAGAGGGUGUUGAAAGAGAGAGCUCCCAAUGCAAUUCACAUCCUCCGCUUCAUGCUCUACCAUAUCACUCUCAAAUGGCUGCCAUGCAAUGUGCUCUAACUUCUCUUAUGGACUCUCAAAACAAACCAUAUGCCUUCAACAAAUCAACAUUAGAAUUACCUUUCCAGGACGCUUCUUCUUCUUCCAGCAACAAUGAGAAAUUCUCUUCAAAAUCCAAAAAGUACUCCUCUAAUUUACACCUCACCAUCUUUCAGCCAUGGGAAAUCAUACACCCCAAGUCCCAACUCGAAUUCCCAUGCAUCUCAACAACAAUCCUCUUUCUCUCUAAUAAAGAACGAAGAAAGAAAGAACGAGCGAUUUUUUUCCCUCACACAAACCUUAUAAUACGGAUUCUUAAUUUUUUAAUGCCAUGUAUGAUUAAUGUAUACAUUGAUCAUAUCACGUAAGCGAAACUUAAACGAUCUUUUGUUCAAUUUGACGGCAGGCUCUAAUUACUUCAAUUUUUAAAAAAUAAGGAUCUAAUUAAGAUGGCAUAAAAAAAAAGGGACUUAUUUGACAUUUUGGACCAAAAUAGGAACAAACCGAGACAUUAAACCUAUAGUCUUUCAUAAUUAUUCUUUUCCAUUUGUUAUUUAAAAAACGUUAAAAUUAGAAAAUGUUAAUUUAUAUAACAAAGAUAAUAAAGAAUUUUAAAUGGAAAUAAUUAUAAUUUUAAAGCAUAAAAUUUAAUAAAUCUAUACUUAUAUAUAUAUAUAUAUAUAUAUAUAUAUAUAUAUAUAUAUAUAUAUAUAUAUAUAUAUAUAUAUAUAUAUAUAUUAUGGGUUUGUUAACGUGCGUAUGCCUCUUUUCAGUUGGUACAUUUUAACAAUGUGUACCGGAUUAUAGUAGACAAAAAUAUCAUCAUAUAUUAUGGAUUCUAAGUUUUAAAGUCAAGGAUAUUUAAAUAAUUUUCAUUCUGAAAACUAAAAAAAAAAAAGAAAUCCCCAAACCCUUACUCACCUCUCCCAUUCCUAUCAAUUCUUUCUGUUUCAUUUCUCUCACUCCAACUUUUUCUCUGUCAUUUUUACUAUAGCCCCAAUUAAAAAAAAUUAGAAAAACUUGCUGUUAAGAAAUUUCUUACAAAAAAAUGAUUUUAUAAUGAGUUUUCAUUUUAUAACUUUUGUCUUAUCUAAUUUUCACAAGCAUAAUGACAUAUGAAGGAAUUGGUAAUUCGCCUGAAAAAAAAAAUAAAAAACACUCGCUAUUAAACAAUUUCUUACAAAAAAUGAUUUUAUAAUGAGUUUUCAUUUUAUAAUUUUUGUCUUAUCUAAUUUUAUUUAAUUUUCACAAGCAUAAUGACAUCAGAAGGAAUUAGUAAUUGGCCUGAAGAUUUUUUAAGAAAUGACGAUUCAACAUCUGCAGAUGAUGAAAUUAGAGAUGUUAGUGAAGAUGAUGAAAUUGAAGAGAUCUUGAAUGAACCUUUGCCUGAAAGCGAAUAUGCCAAUGACUCAACUCUUUACAAAGGUAAAUUGUUUAAGGAUGAGUAUUUCUAAUUUUUUUUUCAAUUGGAUCUACCAUAGGAUGAUAGAGAAACGGUUGGAGUGAGAGAGAUGAAAGAGAAAGGAUUGAGAGGAAUGAGAGAGGUGAGUAAGGGUUUGGGUUUUUUUUUUNUUUUGUUUUGAGAAUGAAAAUUAUUUAAAUAUCCUUGACUUUAAAACUUAGAAUCUUAAUAUAUGAGGGUAUUUUUGUCUACUAUAAUCCGGUACACAUUGUUAAAAUGUACCAACUGAAAAAUAGGCGUACAUAUAUAUAUAUAUAUAUAUAUAUAUAUAUAUAUAUAUAUAUAUAUAUAUAUAUAUAUAUAUAUAUAUAUAUAUACAAACACACACACACAUACGGGGUUUGUUAACAUACGUAAGCUAUAUUUUUACAGUUAAUACAUUUUAGCAAAGUAUACCGAGUUUUAGUAGACAAAAAUACCCUUAUACAUUAUGGAUUCUAAGUUUUAAGGUCAAAGAUAUUUGAAUAAUUUUCGUUCUUAAAACUAGAAAGAAAAACAAGAAACCUGCAAACCCUUAGUCACCCUUCUCUCAUCCCUCAUUCCUCUCAACCAUUUCUCUUUUAUCACUCUCUGUAACCUUUUCUCUGUCAUCCCUAUAAUAGCCCCAACUGAAAAAAAAAAAAUCAGAAACACUCGCAUAACCCUAAUCCACCUUCCUCAUUUAUCCAAUUUGUUUCUCUCUCAUCUUCACCUCUCUCGUCCACACACAGUAACUCGCGACAUUGCAAUUUGUAGUUCUUGCUCUGUUCGUUCAUUUGUUUCCACUUUAAUAACAAAAUAAUUGAUGAUGUUGAUGUUGAUUUUUGAUUGAAGGGUUGUUAUAUUUUUUUCCCUUAUGAUUAUUAUUAAAUUUUGUUUUUAAAUUUUAGAAUUAGUAGUUUAUCUAUAGGGAGAUUUGAUAUUUUGACUAUUAAGUUGUCCGAAAAUAUUUUUCAGAAGAGAAAAAUAGUUACGUGGAAAGGCGAUUCCCGAAAGGGUAAGUCAUUGUCCAAAAAAUGGAUUUCUGAAGUCAGUUCUUAAAAAUAAUUCUAAAAACAUAUUUUGCGCUGAAAGCAAUACUUUGGAAUAUACUUUUCACCUUCCUGCAUAUAACCAACGUCAAAACACAACAAAAAAUGAAGCUCAUGUACAUCGUACUAAAUGAUUUAACAGGAAAAAAUUAUUGAAGAGAGUUAUGAACAUAAAAGAAUUUUGUUGUUGUCCACUAGACUUUUCACUCAAUUCUGGUUGUGUAAUAUUGUUCAUCACUCCUGAUGUCCACUAGACAAACUCGUCUAGGUACCGCUUAAUCCAACCAAGUUAAGCCUUAAGUGUUUGAAUUAUCUUCAAAAUAUGCAAUCAAUCAAAUCACCUACAAGUCAUUAGAUGAUUACUCUCAUAGUGAGGAUUUGCUUACAAUAUAAUUCAAUCUAAUAGACUUUUGAAAUUUUCUUUUUUCUUACAAGUGUAACUUUCUAACUCUAAACAACUCUGAGAGUAUUCUUGAUCUUUCAAUGAGGAUGAUUUUUCUUUAUAUUCCUUAUGUGUCCAUCCUUUUUUCCUUCUUAACCAGAUAUCUUCUCUUUAUAAGCGUUUUUUGAGAAUUUAGUCGUUAGAUGAUGCUUGUCUUUGAAUUUUAGCUCUUUGUAGCCUGCCUUUAUCAUAGGUGGUUGUCAUAGGUUGAGGUCUACUUGUCAAAGUAGGCUUACUUUUUUAGUACUUUAUCAAAAGUAGGUUGUACGAAUUCUUUGGCUCGACUUUUGAUAAGAAGGUCAUUCCAUGAAUGUCUUCUUUGUCUCUAACUUGUAUUUGAUAGAGAAGGUGGAUGCUUGACUUAGGUAAUUUGCAUAAAGUAGAGUAGAUAUUCAUACAAGCAUAUAUGUCUGUUUUCCUUUCACUUUUGCUAUUUUGAGACAUUGUGUUUUUUAAUGCGCGUUUAGAACAACUAUAAGUAUUUUAAAAUUUCCUUGCUCAAGCAGCAUUUGGUUGUUUAAGCAUUCUAGUAGAGAUACCUAGUAGAUCAUGAGAGUUUCAUCAUUGGAUGAAAACUUCGUUUAGCACAUGAUAUCGUUUAGCCUAUGCAAGGCUUUUCAUAAUAGUGCCUUGUUUAAUAAAUACUCGUUUGAUUUAAGAGCGCAUUUAGUGAGAUAUCUUUCAACAUCAAUUUUUGGAACAAUGAUUGUAUCUUUUAGCACAUUUACCAAAAACAUCAUUUUAUAUAUAUCAUAGUGAGAUCUUGUUUAGCUUUGUUUAGCAAAGUAUAGCACAAAUGUGUUUAACAAGACUCUCAUAUAGCUCAAUGACGCAUUUAGUAGUGAAAUCGUUUAGUAGUGCAUCUACUUAUGUAUUAGUGCAUUUAUUAAAGUUUUUUCUUUCAUGGAAAGUCUUUUUAUGUAGCGAUAUGAGUUUUACAAAGGUAAUACUUUGUUAAUCAUCUAUUUCGGUCAUAUUCUUAUUUACUAAUUCUCAAGUCAUGUGAAGAUGCUAAACAAUCUUGAUCUUAUCUUAGCAAACUUCCUUUCUUCUUGUAGUACUGAUUUAUUGUGUAGCACUAUCGUUUUGUAUUAUGUCUCUUCUUAGGAAUGAAUUGUUUUCUUUUAGGAUGAAGAUAUAUUCUUUUAUUUUACGAAUAUUUUAUUUGCAAUGCGUGAUUACUUGAUAGAUUCUUGCACUCAAUGUUUUGUCAGUUUUACUUGGACACUUCUUAUGCUUAUUGCUUUGUAAUUGUAUAUUUGUAGGCAUACUGUAUGUAGGCUUCUUCUAUGUUUCUAUGUUAUUUCAGCUUAUCUCUUUUGUUGUUUAACAACUUAUGUAACUUUAGAUGUAACCUUGAUUUUUACUUUGAUUUGGCUUGACAAUAUAGAUGCUUCUAACCUUAGACGUUUUUCUUUUGGACAUCUUUUUUCCGCUAAAUGGAUAACUAGAUGGUUUGCAAAGUCCACUUUCUAGUGUUUAGAUGAUUUUUCUUUUACAAUUAUCAGAUAAUGUCAUCGAUAAAUAUAUCAUCCAUAAAUAUCAUCCAUAAAUAUAAUGAAUAAUUGUACUUAAUUUAUCUAUCAUUCUAAAAAUAACUUUUUUUUCUAAUCGACUUAAUGAGUCCACUACUAAAUUUAUUAUUAUAUAUUAUUUAAUAAUAUUAUCUUGAAAAUAUUUUAUCAAGAUAAUUUUAUGAAAUAUUAAUUAAAAAACAAUAAACAUUUAUAACAUUUAUAAGAAAGUGUGAUAUUUGAGAAAAACAUAAUAUAAUAUUUAAAAUAAAAGACAACUUAUUAGAAGAAAUGAGAAGAACAGGGAUGGAACUAAAGGUUAAUAAAUAAAAUUGAUGUUUUUCUAUUUUUACAAUUAAUUAUUUUUAGAAUAAAAGUUGUGUAUGGAAUUAAAAAUUCUAUACAAUAAUUUGUUAAGAGAUAAAAUAUGGUCGUAGAGGAUUAAUAAUUUAUUUAUUAAUUUUUCUAUUACUUUUGAUAGUUAACCAUGGAUGAUUGUUAUAGUUUUUUAGAACAUUAGUUACUUUCCUUAGUUAGUUUUAAUUUUUUUUUUCUACAAAUAGUUGAGUAAAUUAUUUUUCUAUACCAUAUGUUACGGAUGUUUCUUUAAUUAGUUUUAUACUUUCUAGCAAAUAAUUAAACACAAUUAUUAUCUUACGCAUGAAUGUGAAACAUGAUAUAAAUGUGUAAAAUUAACUUAUGAAAUCUUAUGAAAUAUAUGUUAAUGAAGUUGAAUCUCAUUUUCAAUUAAAAGGAAAACAAACUGAAAGAAAGACAACACCAAUUUCAUUCAUGUAUUUAUGAGGUGUCAAAGUUUCAUUUUAACAUUUUGUCUUUUCACAUAAUAUUAAUUGAAAAAAAAAAGUAAUGAAAAGGUGGAGAAAAAAAUGUAUGAUUUUAGUAUGUCUUCCGUUGUAGCCAAAAAACUGCUCACUGAAAGGAAUUAAAAAAUAGAUUUGAAUAGGAGUCUGUCAGACAACCCUGCAACCAUCCCCAGCUUGUAAAGUCAGGGAACGAUCCUCUACAGCUGGUGAUGGGUCUCGUCCAGAAACGAAGCCCACACUGCCGUUAAUCACGCUCUGAUCACAGGGUAAUAAUUCAUCCACCAGACUUCAGUUCCUGUCUCCUUAGAACUUAAGGAUACAGAGGUACGAACCUAUAGAACAGAUCCUGUUCAAGUAAGGUCGU